RNAcentral lists this long non-coding RNA (1251 nucleotides) under Marmota monax (woodchuck). The record is from RNAcentral. Lineage: Eukaryota; Metazoa; Chordata; Mammalia; Rodentia; Sciuridae.
GCCAGGCUCCAGGUGCAGGGCAGCCAGGGCAUUGUACUUAAGGCCAGAGCAAGAGACGAGGGGGUUCCAGGAGCCCCUCCAUCAGCUCAGCCCUGGGCUUCCUGAGGGAAUAUUGACCAGAGUCCUGUAUGGAACAGGAUGCCUACGUCCUGGGCCCGGAGGGAACAGUGCCCACACCAUCUGUGUGAAAUGGCUAGGGAUGUGGCUCAGGGGUUAAGUGCCCUGGGUUCAAUCUCUGGUACCAAAAAAACAAAAAAAACAAAACAAAACAAAAACAAACAAACAAAGUUUUUAUUUUGAGACAGGGUUUCACUAAGUUGCUGAGAGCCUCAUUAAGUUGCUGAGGCUGGCCUCAAACUUAUGAUCCUCCUGCCUCAGCCUCCCGAGUCACUGGGAUUACAGGCAUGUUCCACAAUGCCCAGCCGUAGAGCAUAUCUUACUUAUUAAAGGUGUUUGUAAAACACGGUGGCUGAAGAGCAUGGGAACAGCCUCCACUUUCUUAAUGAGUGUCCCCACCUUGUGCUGGGGUGGGGGGCCACCCUCUUUGUCACUUGCCAGCUGUUGCCCUUGGGGAAGUGCCAACAGAGACGGGUUGGAGUCCAGCCCCUCUGCCCUGCCCAGGCCUCAGGGACGGACACUGGGAAAUGAAAGCACUUUCACCUGGACACUUUGACAGUGGUGAGGGUCAGAAGGCCCAAGUCAUCUAAAGAAAAAAAAAAUGUUUGAAAACGAGGGGGAAGGGGUCUGCUCGUGCUGUUGGGGAGCCCAUGGCUGAGGGCCUGGCUGCAACCAGGGGCUUGAAGGAGCCAUUGGGCCACCAUCUCUGCUUCGCCCUCUGUUAUGCCACGGGUCUCUCCUGCUGCUGACAGACUCUCCCGGUGGCCAGACCUGUGGUCCUGGCGGGCAGGGACUCCCUCCAGCUCAUCACCCCUGCCAGUCCCAGCAGAAAUCCUUGGAGAAAGCUGGGCAUGGUGGUGCACACCUGUGAUCCCACUGACUCUGGAGGCUAAGGCAGGAGGAUGAGAGCAAAUUCAAGGCCAGCCUCAGCAAUUUAGUGAGACCAUAUUUUAAAAUAAAAAUUAAAAAGGACCAGGGGUGUUCCUCAUUGGUAGAGUGCCCCUGAGUUCAAUAAUCCCCAGUACCACUGGGGGUGGGAGUGGGGGACAGAAGUCCCAGAGUCUGGUUUCUGGCCAGGUCUGCCCUCAACCACUCACUGUGCCAGGAGGGAAGAAUUAUGUCUGUCUGGCUUGG